UAGUGCAAUCGGUUAGCACAGUAGAUCUGAAAUCUGUAGAUGCGGGUUCGAGUCCAGC
This 58-nucleotide transfer RNA is filed under the name Dictyocaulus viviparus (bovine lungworm). It matches the Rfam family "tRNA", at positions 8 to 63 of the family's 71-position model. From Rfam's summary of the family: Transfer RNA (tRNA) molecules are approximately 80 nucleotides in length. The record is from Rfam by way of RNAcentral. Lineage: Eukaryota; Metazoa; Nematoda; Chromadorea; Rhabditida; Metastrongylidae.